This 301-nucleotide ribosomal RNA is filed under the name uncultured bacterium. RNAcentral describes it as "partial 16S ribosomal RNA". It matches the Rfam family "Bacterial small subunit ribosomal RNA", at positions 509 to 807 of the family's 1533-position model. The record is from RNAcentral.
CAGCCGCCGCGGUAAAACGUAGGGUGCAAGCGUUAAUCGGAAUUACUGGGCGUAAAGCGUGCGCAGGCGGUUUGUUAAGACAGAUGUGAAAUCCCCGGGCUCAACCUGGGAACUGCAUUUGUGACUGGCAAGCUAGAGUCUGGCAGAGGGGGGUGGAAUUCCGCGUGUAGCAGUGAAAUGCGUAGAUAUGCGGAGGAACACCGAUGGCGAAGGCAGCCCCCUGGGCCAACACUGACGCUCAUGCACGAAAGCGUGGGGAGCAAACAGGAUUAGAUACCCCAGUAGUCCCUGUCUCUUAUAC